RNAcentral lists this ribosomal RNA (516 nucleotides) under Lysinibacillus sp. MFNC5. RNAcentral describes it as "bacterial SSU rRNA". It matches the Rfam family "Bacterial small subunit ribosomal RNA", at positions 16 to 513 of the family's 1533-position model. Lineage: Bacteria; Bacillati; Bacillota; Bacilli; Caryophanales; Bacillaceae. The record is from RNAcentral.
AUCCUGGCUCAGGACGAACGCUGGCGGCGUGCCUAAUACAUGCAAGUCGAGCGAACAGAGAAGGAGCUUGCUCCUUUGACGUUAGCGGCGGACGGGUGAGUAACACGUGGGCAACCUACCCUAUAGUUUGGGAUAACUCCGGGAAACCGGGGCUAAUACCGAAUAAUCUUUUGUCCCUCAUGGGACAAUACUGAAAGACGGUUUCGGCUGUCGCUAUAGGAUGGGCCCGCGGCGCAUUAGCUAGUUGGUGAGGUAACGGCUCACCAAGGCAACGAUGCGUAGCCGACCUGAGAGGGUGAUCGGCCACACUGGGACUGAGACACGGCCCAGACUCCUACGGGAGGCAGCAGUAGGGAAUCUUCCACAAUGGGCGAAAGCCUGAUGGAGCAACGCCGCGUGAGUGAAGAAGGAUUUCGGUUCGUAAAACUCUGUUGUAAGGGAAGAACAAGUACAGUAGUAACUGGCUGUACCUUGACGGUACCUUAUUAGAAAGCCACGGCUAACUACGUGCCAGCA